This 72-nucleotide transfer RNA is filed under the name Camelus bactrianus (Bactrian camel). It matches the Rfam family "tRNA". Rfam says of the family: Transfer RNA (tRNA) molecules are approximately 80 nucleotides in length. Their secondary structure includes four short double-helical elements and three loops (D, anti-codon, and T loops). Further hydrogen bonds mediate the characteristic L-shaped molecular structure. tRNAs have two regions of fundamental functional importance: the anti-codon, which is responsible for specific mRNA codon recognition, and the 3' end, to which the tRNAs corresponding amino acid is attached (by aminoacyl-tRNA synthetases). tRNAs cope with the degeneracy of the genetic code in two manners: having more than one tRNA (with a specific anti-codon) for a particular amino acid; and 'wobble' base-pairing, i.e. permitting non-standard base-pairing at the 3rd anti-codon position. Lineage: Eukaryota; Metazoa; Chordata; Mammalia; Artiodactyla; Camelidae. RNAcentral also lists the same sequence under 2 other names. The record is from Rfam by way of RNAcentral.
GAGGGUGUAGCUCAGUGGUCGAGUGCGUGCUUAGCAUGCACGAGGUCCUGGGUUCAAUCCCCAGUACCUCCA